RNAcentral lists this unclassified non-coding RNA (641 nucleotides) under Hevea brasiliensis (rubber tree). The record is from RNAcentral. Lineage: Eukaryota; Viridiplantae; Streptophyta; Magnoliopsida; Malpighiales; Euphorbiaceae.
AACAGGAAGGAAGAAAAUAAAGUACAGAUCUGACCAUCUGAGGACACAAGAGGAGAUUAUGCACCCUCGUUAAUAAAAUAAUUGUUAAAUCCUCUUUUUUUCUAAAAAAAAUUCCAGAACAAUUGAGACAAUCCAAGUGAAUCCAAUACCAUUACUUAGUGUCAUCAUUAGAGCUUGUCAUUCCUUAAAAACAAAACCUGCCAGACCAAAAUCUUAAAAAGCUUUAAAUUUCAAGCUUGUUUCCUCAUUUGCAGAGUAAUCAAAAUCUCAAAGAAUUCCAUUUGAACAACCAUAAGCAAAGAUGGAAGAUUCACAAUUAAGCACAAUAACAUCAAGAUCCCAUCCAAAAUGAACAGAUCCAAUAGAAAGCACAUCACAGAUCCCCGCAAAACCAAUAAAAGCGUGACCAAUUUUCAAAAUGCAUUAGAACACAAGUAAGAUGAAAACAAUUGCAAUAACAUUCGUAGUUCUAGCUACUUCAUGCAGAGAUCCAGGUUCUAUCAAGUAAGAAAUGUGGAUUAAUCAAAACUAAAUAGCAGACCAAAACACAAAAAAUACGUCACCUUUAGCAAUAGAUCUAAGAGAAACAAUAAAUAAUCAGUUAGAUCAAAAUUCAAAAACUAACAAAAACACAAGAUCCA